Molecule: ribosomal RNA, 345 nt
Filed under: uncultured Helotiales
Lineage: Eukaryota; Fungi; Ascomycota; Leotiomycetes; Helotiales
Description: eukaryotic LSU rRNA
Rfam family: 5.8S ribosomal RNA (bases 1-139)
Source: RNAcentral
AUCUCUUGGUUCUGGCAUCNAUGAANAACGCAGCGAAAUGCGAUAAGUAAUGUGAAUUGCAGAAUUCAGUGAAUCAUCGAAUCUUUGAACGCACAUUGCGCCCCUUGGUAUUCCGAGGGGCAUGCCUGUUCGAGCGUCAUUAUGACCAAAUCAAGCUCUGCUUGAAGUUGGGACCCGCCAGUCGGCGGCCCUUAAACCCAGUGGCGGUGCUGCCAGGCUCUAAGCGUAGUAAUUUUUCCUCGCUAUAGGGUCUUGGGGACGCUUGCCAGAAGCCUUUAUAUACUAGAUUGACCUCGGAUCAGGUAGGGAUACCCGCUGAACUUAANCAUAUCAAUAAGCGGAGGA